CAGCCGCCGCGGUAAAACGUAGGGUGCAAGCGUUAAUCGGAAUUACUGGGCGUAAAGCGUGCGCAGGCGGUUUGUUAAGACAGAUGUGAAAUCCCCGGGCUCAACCUGUGAACUGCAUUUGUGACUGGCAAGCUAGAGUAUGGCAGAGGGGGGUGGAAUUCCGCGUGUAGCGGUGAACUGCGUAGAGAUGUGGAGGAACACCAGUGGCGAAGGCGACUCUCUGGUCUGUAACUGACGCUGAGGAGCGAAAGCGUGGGGAGCGAACAGGAUUAGAUACCCCUGUAGUCCCUGUCUCUUAUAC
This 301-nucleotide ribosomal RNA is filed under the name uncultured bacterium. RNAcentral describes it as "partial 16S ribosomal RNA". It matches the Rfam family "Bacterial small subunit ribosomal RNA", at positions 509 to 807 of the family's 1533-position model. The record is from RNAcentral.